GCAUAUCAAUAAGCGGAGGAAAAGAAACCAACAGGGAUUGCCCUAGUAACGGCGAGUGAAGCGGCAACAGCUCAAAUUUGAAAUCUGGCUUCGGCCCGAGUUGUAAUUUGCAGAGGAAGCUUUAGGCGCGGCACCUCCUGAGUCCCCUGGAACGGGGCGCCACAGAGGGUGAGAGCCCCGUAUAGUUGGAUGCCUAGCCUGUGUAAAGCUCCUUCGACGAGUCGAGUAGUUUGGGAAUGCUGCUCAAAAUGGGAGGUAAAUUUCUUCUAAAGCUAAAUACCGGCCAGAGACCGAUAGCGCACAAGUAGAGUGAUCGAAAGAUGAAAAGCACUUUGAAAAGAGGGUUAAAUAGCACGUGAAAUUGUUGAAAGGGAAGCGCUUGUGACCAGACUUGCGCCGGGCUGAUCAUCCGGUGUUCUCACCGGUGCACUCUGCCCGGCUCAGGCCAGCAUCGGUUCUCGCGGGGGGAUAAAGGCCCUGGGAACGUAGCUCCUCCGGGAGUGUUAUAGCCCGGGGCGCAAUGCCCUCGCGGGGACCGAGGUUCGCGCUCUGCAAGGAUGCUGGCGUAAUGGUCAUCAGCGACCCGUCUUGAAACACGGACCAAGGAGUCAAGGUUUUGCGCGAGUGUUUGGGUGUAAAACCCGCACGCGUAAUGAAAGUGAACGUAGGUGAGAGCUUCGGCGCAUCAUCGACCGAUCCUGAUGUUCUCGGAUGGAUUUGAGUAGGAGCGUUAAGCCUUGGACCCGAAAGAUGGUGAACUAUGCUUGGAUAGGGUGAAGCCAGAGGAAACUCUGGUGGAGGCUCGCAGCGGUUCUGACGUGCAAAUCGAUCGUCAAAUCUGAGCAUGGGGGGCGAAAGACUAAUCGAACCAUCUAGUAGCUGGUUACCGCCGAAGU
This 896-nucleotide ribosomal RNA is filed under the name Acrophialophora levis. RNAcentral's name for it is "LSU rRNA". It matches the Rfam family "Eukaryotic large subunit ribosomal RNA", at positions 38 to 967 of the family's 3401-position model. Lineage: Eukaryota; Fungi; Ascomycota; Sordariomycetes; Sordariales; Chaetomiaceae. The record is from RNAcentral.